This 76-nucleotide transfer RNA is filed under the name bacterium. Its description in RNAcentral is "tRNA-Thr". It matches the Rfam family "tRNA". Rfam says of the family: Transfer RNA (tRNA) molecules are approximately 80 nucleotides in length. Their secondary structure includes four short double-helical elements and three loops (D, anti-codon, and T loops). The record is from RNAcentral.
GCUGGCGUAGCUCAAACGGUAGAGCGUCUCACUUGUAAUGAGAGGGUUGGGGGUUCAAGUCCCUUCGCCAGCUCCA